GAUGAACGCUGGCUACAGGCUUAACACAUGCAAGUCGAGGGGAAACGACGGGGAAGCUUGCUUCCCCGGGCGUCGACCGGCGCACGGGUGAGUAACGCGUAUCCAACCUGCCUCUGACUGAGGGAUAACCCGUCGAAAGUCGGCCUAAUACCUCAUGGUAUCGUCUGCGGGCAUCCAACGACGAUUAAAGAUUUCAUCGGUCAGGGAUGGGGAUGCGUCUGAUUAGCUUGUUGGCGGGGUAACGGCCCACCAAGGCUACGAUCAGUAGGGGUUCUGAGAGGAAGGUCCCCCACAUUGGAACUGAGACACGGUCCAAACUCCUACGGGAGGCAGCAGUGAGGAAUAGUGGUCAAUGGGCGAGAGCCUGAACCAGCCAAGUAGCGUGCAGGAAGACGGCCCUAUGGGUUGUAAACUGCUUUUAUGCGGGGAUAAAGUGAGGGACGUGUCCCUCAUUGCAGGUACCGCACGAAUAAGGACCGGCUAAUUCCGUG
Molecule: ribosomal RNA, 491 nt
Filed under: uncultured bacterium
Lineage: Bacteria
Description: partial 16S ribosomal RNA
Rfam family: Bacterial small subunit ribosomal RNA
Source: RNAcentral